This 1557-nucleotide ribosomal RNA is filed under the name Escherichia coli. RNAcentral's name for it is "bacterial SSU rRNA". It matches the Rfam family "Bacterial small subunit ribosomal RNA". Lineage: Bacteria; Pseudomonadati; Pseudomonadota; Gammaproteobacteria; Enterobacterales; Enterobacteriaceae. The record is from RNAcentral.
UUAAAUUGAAGAGUUUGAUCAUGGCUCAGAUUGAACGCUGGCGGCAGGCCUAACACAUGCAAGUCGAACGGUAACAGGAAGCAGCUUGCUGCUUUGCUGACGAGUGGCGGACGGGUGAGUAAUGUCUGGGAAACUGCCCUGAUGGAGGGGGAUAACUACUGGAAACGGUAGCUAAUACCGCAUAACGUCGCAAGACCAAAGAGGGGGACCUUAGGGCCUCUUGCCAUCGGAUGUGCCCAGAUGGGAUUAGCUAGUAGGUGGGGUAACGGCUCACCUAGGCGACGAUCCCUAGCUGGUCUGAGAGGAUGACCAGCCACACUGGAACUGAGACACGGUCCAGACUCCUACGGGAGGCAGCAGUGGGGAAUAUUGCACAAUGGGCGCAAGCCUGAUGCAGCCAUGCCGCGUGUAUGAAGAAGGCCUUCGGGUUGUAAAGUACUUUCAGCGGGGAGGAAGGGAGUAAAGUUAAUACCUUUGCUCAUUGACGUUACCCGCAGAAGAAGCACCGGCUAACUCCGUGCCAGCAGCCGCGGUAAUACGGAGGGUGCAAGCGUUAAUCGGAAUUACUGGGCGUAAAGCGCACGCAGGCGGUUUGUUAAGUCAGAUGUGAAAUCCCCGGGCUCAACCUGGGAACUGCAUCUGAUACUGGCAAGCUUGAGUCUCGUAGAGGGGGGUAGAAUUCCAGGUGUAGCGGUGAAAUGCGUAGAGAUCUGGAGGAAUACCGGUGGCGAAGGCGGCCCCCUGGACGAAGACUGACGCUCAGGUGCGAAAGCGUGGGGAGCAAACAGGAUUAGAUACCCUGGUAGUCCACGCCGUAAACGAUGUCGACUUGGAGGUUGUGCCCUUGAGGCGUGGCUUCCGGAGCUAACGCGUUAAGUCGACCGCCUGGGGAGUACGGCCGCAAGGUUAAAACUCAAAUGAAUUGACGGGGGCCCGCACAAGCGGUGGAGCAUGUGGUUUAAUUCGAUGCAACGCGAAGAACCUUACCUGGUCUUGACAUCCACGGAAGUUUUCAGAGAUGAGAAUGUGCCUUCGGGAACCGUGAGACAGGUGCUGCAUGGCUGUCGUCAGCUCGUGUUGUGAAAUGUUGGGUUAAGUCCCGCAACGAGCGCAACCCUUAUCCUUUGUUGCCAGCGGUCCGGCCGGGAACUCAAAGGAGACUGCCAGUGAUAAACUGGAGGAAGGUGGGGAUGACGUCAAGUCAUCAUGGCCCUUACGACCAGGGCUACACACGUGCUACAAUGGCGCAUACAAAGAGAAGCGACCUCGCGAGAGCAAGCGGACCUCAUAAAGUGCGUCGUAGUCCGGAUUGGAGUCUGCAACUCGACUCCAUGAAGUCGGAAUCGCUAGUAAUCGUGGAUCAGAAUGCCACGGUGAAUACGUUCCCGGGCCUUGUACACACCGCCCGUCACACCAUGGGAGUGGGUUGCAAAAGAAGUAGGUAGCUUAACCUUCGGGAGGGCGCUUACCACUUUGUGAUUCAUGACUGGGGUGAAGUCGUAACAAGGUAACCGUAGGGGAACCUGCGGUUGGAUCACCUCCUUACCUUAAAGAAGC